Non-coding RNA from Podarcis lilfordi (Lilford's wall lizard), 1830 nucleotides. Lineage: Eukaryota; Metazoa; Chordata; Lepidosauria; Squamata; Lacertidae. The record is from the annotation of a GenBank genome assembly.
CCAAGCUUCAAACAUCCCAAGACAAAAGCAUUGUUCACAUGGAUAUGGCCUUGCCUUGAUAAGGCUCAAGGAUGCAAUAAGCCAAAAUGUCACCUAGGUGCCUACGAAUCAAAGUUCCACUUGGAUUUGAAUUUCUUGGAAGGUACCAUAUCAUCCCAAGAUUACUUAUUGGAAUACUGUCUGUCAAGGUUCAUGUUUUAUAGAGGGAGGCUGAGAGCUCUUACGGGAAUAGUCUUAUUUAGUAAUAUGAUUGAGUUAUUUUCACUGUUUACUAAUCCAGUUGUUUCUUCUUUUGGGUUUCAUUUUUGUUCAUGAUGACAUUUAAUUGGCACAAUUUGGGGUUCAACUGUGUACAGUCUAAUCCUAUAUACCUGAAAUAUGUGUUGCUGUACUCAGUAAGAUUUAGUUGAUAUAGUAAAGAGUUUAGGGUUGCAGCCUGAGCUGAAUAAUUGACGUGGGGGGGGGGGGAAGAAUACCCCUCUCUCUAAAUUUUUUAAGGGGUUCCUGAUGAAGUAGCAGGCUCCUAUAUUUUUAUUUUUCUGCUUGUUAUUUUUUUGACACCUCUUAAGAUAUCAUAACCAAAUCUUGCACAAUGUUUCCAGAGACCAAGGAGCAGGUUUUUGUCUAUAUUUGGAUAUGAUUGCACACCAUUUUGGUUCAGAAUGGACUGAACCUUUCAAAACUGCCCUGACUUUCGGGUUUCUUAGAAUUCUAGACCAAUGCUGGGAACAAGGUUGCUAGUUCUUAAUGAGUGGAUGCAGGUGGCCAACAUUAUCUUAAAAAGAAAUACCCCGCCCCUCUUUAAGAUAUCUUGUGUAACAUUUGUGUGCAUCGCCUUAAUUAGAAUCAUUUGUUUUUUUCAUUACAUAAGCUAAUGCAGGUUGAACAGAUCAAACUGAUUUCUUCCUGUGUGAUGGCCUUCUAGUGCAAACAUUUUUCGGGAGAUGCUGGAUGUGAGAUGGGGAGUUGUCUGUGGGUUUAGCUUCAAGAGACCUGCUUGUGGGCAGCCGCUGUGAACAGGAUGCUUGACUAGAUAGACGUUUAGUUUGAUCCAGCCACUAGACUCUUGUACCCUGGCAUCAGUUCCAAGCGGUCAAGGAUGGCAUGCAUGGAGGCCUUUGUGCAACAAGCAAUGGGUGGCGCUGUGGGUUAAACCACAGAGCCUAGGACUUGCCGAUCAGAAGGUCGGCGGUUCGAAUCUCCGCGACAGGGUGAGCUCCCGUUGCUCGGUCUCUGCUCCUGCCAACCUAGCAGUUCGAAAGCACGUCAAAGUGCAAGUAGAUAAAUAGGUACCGCUCCAGCGGGAAGGUAAACGGCGUUUCCAUGCGCUGCUCUGGUUUGCCAGAAGCGGCUUAGUCAUGCUGGCCACAUGACCUGGAAGCUGUAUGCCGGCUCCCUCGGCCAAUAAAGCGAGAUGAGCGCCGCAACCCCAGAGUCGGUCAUGACUGGACCAAUUGGUCAGGGGUCCCUUUACCUAUGAUAAUAAUAAUAAGGUUAUUGCACUACCCCGAGAUAUAUUUGGCUGAAGCAUGCCCAAGCGCACUGCAAGUUUCACUGACCAGGAGAAGUCAAUUACUGGCUCUUUGCCUUAUCUGUUCCUCAGCUGCUCAUGCCUUCCUAAUUCAAAAUCCUAAACCAACCUCACAUCAUCCCUGACCACUGGCCAUGCUGACUGGGGAUGAUGGGAGUUGGAGUUCAACAUCUGGAGUCCCCAUCCCUGGUAGAUCGUAACCUAUUUAAGAAGAAACCUCAAUUCUAUAUGCUGGCUAACAGCUCUUUAUACUUGUCCCGAGGAAGGCUGACAAUAAACCUCCAGGUAAAUAUAGUUAG